Molecule: unclassified non-coding RNA, 307 nt
Filed under: plant metagenome
Description: partial contains 5.8S ribosomal RNA, internal transcribed spacer 2, and large subunit ribosomal RNA
Rfam family: 5.8S ribosomal RNA (bases 1-105)
Source: RNAcentral
GAAAUGCGAUAAGUAGUGUGAAUUGCAGAAUUCAGUGAAUCAUCGAAUCUUUGAACGCACAUUGCGCCCUUUGGUAUUCCAAAGGGCAUGCCUGUUCGAGCGUCAUUUGUACCCUCAAGCUUUGCUUGGUGUUGGGCGUCUUGUCUCUAGCUUUGCUGGAGACUUGCCUUAAAGUAAUUGGCAGCCGGCCUACUGGUUUCGGAGCGCAGCACAAGUCACACUCUCUAUCAGCAAAGGUCUAGCAUCCAUUAAGCCUUUUUUCAACUUUUGACCUCGGAUCAGGUAGGGAUACCCGCUGAACUUAAGC